GCCUUAUAAGCUAACCGGAAAGCUACUAACCUUGUAAGUUGGGGGGAGGAGGUUCAAGUCCUCCAUAAGGC
This 71-nucleotide transfer RNA is filed under the name Oreasteridae sp. C1. Its description in RNAcentral is "tRNA-Thr". It matches the Rfam family "tRNA". From Rfam's summary of the family: Transfer RNA (tRNA) molecules are approximately 80 nucleotides in length. Their secondary structure includes four short double-helical elements and three loops (D, anti-codon, and T loops). RNAcentral also lists the same sequence under 15 other names. The record is from RNAcentral. Lineage: Eukaryota; Metazoa; Echinodermata; Asteroidea; Valvatida; Oreasteridae.